UAUCUCUGUAGAGUCUGCAUAUCAAUAAGCGGAGGAAAAGAAACUAACAAGGAUUCCCCUAGUAACGGCGAGUGAAGCGGGAAGAGCUCAAAUUUGAAAUCUUCAAGGUUUGACCUUGACGAAUUGUAGUUUAAAGAAGUGUUUUCGGUUAGAGGAGUAGUAAAAGUUCUUUGGAAUAGGACAUCAUAGAGGGUGAGAAUCCCGUAUUUGACUAUUCUUUCUAGCUUUGUGAUACACUUUCAAAGAGUCGGAUUGUUUGGGAAUGCAGUCCAAAAUGGGUGGUAAAUUUCAUCUAAAGCUAAAUAUUGGCGAGAGACCGAUAGCGAACAAGUACCGUGAGGGAAAGAUGGAAAGAACUUUGAAAAGAGAGUUAAACAGUACGUGAAAUUGUCAAAAGGGAAGCGUUUGACACCAGUGUUGUUUUUCCGAAAAUCAAUUAAAAAUUGAUUCAUGCCAGGUUGUAUUGACCUUAUCAGCUUGCAAUUUGGUUUUGGGUCUCUUUUUGAUGCACUCUUCGGUUAACAAGUCAACAUCAAUUUCCUUUGCUGUAAAAAGGUAAGAGGAAGGUGGCUUCAAUUUCGGUUGAAGUGUUUAUAGCCUUUUAUCUCUGCAGUCGGGGAGAUUGAGGUCUGCAGCGUAGAUCCUUCGGGGCUAGAUACAUUUAUGCUAAGUUAUAGCUUUUCAUAGACAACUUGUUGACUAUGUUUAGUCAUGUAGCUUACUCGUAAGUGCUAUUUUACCUACGCUUAGGAUGUUGAAGACUCUACAGAGAUA
Molecule: ribosomal RNA, 774 nt
Filed under: uncultured Neocallimastigales
Lineage: Eukaryota; Fungi; Neocallimastigomycota; Neocallimastigomycetes; Neocallimastigales
Description: partial large subunit ribosomal RNA
Rfam family: Eukaryotic large subunit ribosomal RNA
Source: RNAcentral